Molecule: long non-coding RNA, 911 nt
Organism: Hippoglossus stenolepis (Pacific halibut)
Lineage: Eukaryota; Metazoa; Chordata; Actinopteri; Pleuronectiformes; Pleuronectidae
Exons: 4
Source: RefSeq, a predicted model, not a curated record
UUCCUGAACUCGCUCACAGGACUCAGUGUUAAAGUGAACAUCUGGAUUCAGGAUCCCACACCGUCCAUUAUUAACUGAAUACAUGAUCCUAAGUGUGUCAUCGACAUCAUAACCAUCACAAUAAAACAUGAACUGUGAACCAGUUCAUCUUCAUGAGUAUGAACUGGACUUUGAACUGGGUGGUUUCAUGUGUGAACUGGUUCAACACGGAGGAGGAGCCUGAGAACAGGGAGCGGUCAGACUCCAUUUUCCCUUGGAUGAGCAGGAGGAAGAAAAGUGAGGAGAGUCACGUGAUUUCCAGUAACUGCAGAGCGGAGGAGCAGCCAGUGAAAGUGAAAGUGAAAGUGUUCAGACUUGUUCUAACAACAAGGAGCAGACGGAGGAGACGUGAAGUCUGAGGCUGAGAGAAGAAGAUUCAGGAUGAACUUCUGUCAGUCAAUCAACAGUUUGACUCAACGCUGUGAUUGGCUGAGUCCAACACAUUAAACCUACAACUGUCUCAGGUUACCGUGACAACAGGGACACAGUGUAGGAGCGUUGACUCUGUUAGAUUUGAAGAAACACUGAGUUUACUACCUGGCUUCAUUGUGUGUGUUUGAGCUCACAGUGUUUUUCACUGGAUCCCCAGAGACAGAUGUGAACAGCAGGUCUGGAACAAAGAGCCUUCAAAGGACUAAUUCACAGAGUUAACUCACAGUUUCACUUUUUAUCUUCAUCACAUCUGUUCAUCAAGUGUUUAAUAACAGAACGUGUUUUCACAAUCAUACGUUACAGCAGUGGUCACAACCAGUCGAGAGUCUUCACUGUGGAUCCCAGUAAAGCUCUGGACUCACUGGCUGAGGUGUGAGGAACAUCGACCUGCAGAGCCAGACUGAAGAUGAGGAGUCAUGAGGAGGAAGAGGAGGACAGAG